CCAUAGUCACUGAUGAUGGAAAACACGGGCUUCAACAGAUGUCGCUGCUUCAGAUGUAGAAGCACCCACAAAACUCUUGUAUCACAGGAGCGAACCCACCAGCCACCAGUGACUGCAUGAGGCCUGUCCCCCAGGUCUUCGCUCUCAACAGGAAUUCCCUUUGCCGUAGCUUUCAGCUUUCCGCAGUGCCAGCAGUCGUGACUGGUUGUGGCAUCUCUCACAAAGCACAUUGGAUGUUGUUUUAAAGUCCCAUGGUCAGAGCUAAAAAUAGGACUAUGCUGUAUCAUCUGAUGUUUUCAGAUCAUCAGCCACACCACUCCCCUCCUUUCUGAAACCAACAGAGAAUAUCACGCUGGCCCAUUACAUUGAUGACAUUAUGCUGAUUGGAUCCAGUGGAUGAGAAGCAGCAAACACAUUGGACUUAUUGCCACCCCGAAUGAAUCUCAACAGUUGAUUAUAUCAGACCUCUUCCAUCAUGGAAAGGGCAAUGGUUUGUUCUCACCAGAAAAGAUACUUAUUCCAGAUAUGGGUGUGCCUAUCCCGCACACAAUGCUUCUGCCAAGACUACCAUCUGUGGACUCACAGAAUGCCUUAUCCACCAUCAUGGUAUUCCACACACAUUGCCUCUGACCAAGGCAUUCACUUUACAGCUAAAGAAGUGCAGGAGUGGGUUUAUGCUCAUGGAAUUCACUGGUCUUACCACGUUCCCCAUCAUCCUGAAGCAGCCAGAUUGAUAGGACAGUGGAGUGGUCUUUUGAAGUCACAAUGACACCACCAACUAGGUGACAGUAUUUUGCAGAGCUGAGGCAAAGUUCUCCAGAGGGUUGUGUAUGCCCUGAAUCAGCAUCCAAUAUAUGGUACUGUUUCUCCCAGAGCCAGUAUACCUGGGUCCAGGAAUCAAGGGAUGGAAGUGGAAGUGGCACCACUCACCAUCACCCCUAGUAACCCACUAGCAAAAUUUUUGCUUACUGUUCCUGCAAUACUAUGUUCUGCUGGCCUAGAGGUCUUAGUUCCGGAGAAAGGAAUGCUGCCACUAGGAGACACAACAAUGAUUCCAUUCAACUAGAAAUUAAGAUGUCACCUGGACACUUUGGGCUCCUCCUACCUUUAAGUCAACAGGGUAAGAAGGGAGUUACAGUGUUGGCUGGGGUGACUGACCCAGUCUGUCAAGAUGAAAACAGUCUAUACAGGAGAUCCCUUAAGGCAUCUCUUAGUAUUACCAUACCCUGUGAUUAAGGUCAGUGGAAAACUACAACAACCCAAACCAGGCAAGACUUCAGAUGACCCAGACCCUUCAGGAAUGAAGGUCUGGGUCACUCCACCAGGUAAAAAUUCAUGACCCACUGAAGUGCUCACUGAAGGCAAAGGGAAUACAAAAUGGGUAAUAGAAAAAGACAGUCAUCAAUACCAGCUAUGACCACACAACCAGUUGCAGAAAUGAGAACUGUAAUUGUCAUGAGGAUUUCCUCCUUAUUUUGUUAAGAGCAUGUUUGUGCAUGUAUACAUUUGUACUAAGAAAAUAUCUUCACUUUUAUUUCCUUUCUCCUUCAUCAUGUGACAUAAGAUUUAUUGACUUUAUAUCAGGAUUUAAGUGUUGUUAACUUUAUGUAAUAGCAUUUAGGUUAAUGAUUAAUGCACUUCCUGUUUGUAUAGAGAAUAGCUGUAUUAAGUUAGGCAUAAUUAUGACCUUAUUAUUGAUUGUCUUAUUUGAAGAUUAUGUAUGGGUUCAUGUUGAUAGGGAUUCAAGUUGACAAAGGGUGGACUUGUGAUGGUUAAUAUUGAAUGUCAACUUGAUUGGAUUGAAGGAUGCAAAGUGUCAUUCCUGGGUGUGUCUGUGAGGGUGUUUCCAAAGGAGAUUAACAUUUGAGUCAGUGGACUGGGAAAGGCUGACCCGCUCUCAAUCUUGGUGGUACGGAACCAUCUAAUCAGCCUCCAGCAUGGCUAGAAUAAAGCAGCUAGAAGAAGUUGGAAGACUUCACUCGCUGGGUCUUCUGGCCUUUAUCUUUCUUCUGGGCUGAAUGCCUCCUGCCCUCAAAUAUCAGACUCCAAGUUAUUCAGCUUUUGGACUCUGAGACUUACACCAGUGAUUCGCCAGAGGCGGAGGGGCCUUCAGCCACAGACUGAAGGCUGCACUGUCGGCUGCCCUACUUCCGAGGUUUUAGGGCUCAGACUGGCUUCCUUGCUCCUCAGCUUGCACGUGGCCUAUUGUGGGACUUUGCCUUGUGUUUGUGUGAGUCAAUACUCCUUAAUAAAUGCCCCUUCAUACAUACAUCUAUCCUAUUAGUUCUCUCCCUCUAGAGAACCCUGACUAAUACAGGUUUCAAGGAAAGCAUGGCUACCUUGCAAUGGAAAGGAGAGUAAAUAAACACGGCCCAGAAAUCCUGUAUUUACAGAGAAUAAAAAAUAACCCUAUGUCGAGAAAAUUUCUAUUAGCAUGGACUAAAAGUGAUGAGUUUUUGAGAUAGAAAACUGUCCCCAGCCUCCUCCUACCCCAGCGUUCUUCAGGGAGGGUGCAGGCUGAGAGGGUGGCUCAGUCACCAGAUAGGGCAUAUUCUCCAAUGGCCUCUUUAGAAGUGACCAAGGGGGAUUUUGGCAAAGGACUUCCCAAAGAGUGGAGCCAAAAACCACAGAGAAAUAAUGAACUGAGAUUUGGGAAGCUAUGCCCAGGGAGCAGUAAUGAGGGUCUAAGCCAAUAAGAAUAUUCCCUUCUCCCAAGGUAGGGGAAUGUGGCAACAUUCAUUGACCAGGAUUUCACAGUGGCUAUAGACAUGACCUCUAUGUGCACCUCACUCUUUUCAUAUGAAAAUGAUGCCAGCAGGGGAGGAGAUCUGAAAGGAUCUUGGGAUGGACGUGAGCACCUUUGGGAGGGAUGUGGCGAAAGGUAAUGGAAAGCAGACUGGGGUUGACUGAAUUCUUGGUGCCAGUUCUUUUUUCCCUCAUAAGAGAAUUAGAAAUAACACAUUCUUGCCAUCUUCUCAUAACAAGCAGGGGGUAUUUUCCACCCCUCACGUUAGGCUGGGCCAUGUGACUACCUUUGGCCAAUCAGAAGUUGUCAGACAUUGAGCAAGCAGAUGCUUACAAUGUGCUGUGUGGUUGCACUCACCCUCCUGCCCACUACGAGAAUCCCAUGAGAAGAGCUCCCUCAGGUAGCAGACACCCUGUCAACCUGGGCUCCAGAAGGAACACCAUGCAACAUACCUGAGCCGGGACCUGCAACCUGCAGCCAAGGCCAGUUCGCCUGAAGCCAAAAGCAGAGUCUCAUGCCAGAUAACCUGCAAACAUACGCAAAAGAAGUAAAUGUUUGUUGUUUUCUGCCACGCAGAUUUAAUGUUUGUUAUGCGGCUUUAUUGAGGCAAUAGCAGACUAUGAUAUGUAUUUUCCCAUGUCUUUUCAUAUUCUUUAAAUAGCACUCUUGUAAAUAUAUUGAUUCCAUUGAAAAAUUUCACUUAGUUCACUAUUUUCUGAUUCUGAAAUACCAGGUUUUUUUCUGAAUUUAUUUUUGACCUCUAUUUUUUGCUUCUUAUAACAAUGCUGUUAAUAAGACAUGAAUGCAUGUUUUCCAUACUUUGAUUUGUUUUCAUAGGGUUAAAACUAGAUAAUAACAUCUACUUCACUGGGCUGUUGUGAUGAUUGAAAGACUUAAAAUAAUUAAGUGCUGAGCAUAUCAUCUUUCAUGUAACCAGCAUUCAGUAAUGACUGUUAUUGUUUUUUGUUGUAGAGUUCCAAAAGUUGGACAAACAAUUUAAAGCUCUUAAAAUGAAGUGUAAAACUAUUUUCCAAAAGUUAUAUCACUUUAUACGGCUAACGGCAUCAUAUGAGUUUUAGCACACCUUCAAACAACUCCAUUAUUUUAACUUUAGCUAUUUUGAGAGUUGAGAACUAAUGUCUUGCUGAUAUUUUAUUUUUUAUUUGUUUUUUUUUUUUUUUGAGACGGAGUUUCGCUCUUGUUACCCAGGCUGGAGUGCAAUGGCACGAUCUCGGCUCACUGCAACCUCCGCCUCCUGGGUUCAGGCAAUUCUCCUGCCUCAGCCUCCUGAGUAGCUGGGAUUACAGGCACGCACCACCAUGCCCAGCUAAUUUUUGUAUUUUUAGUAGAGAUGGGGUUUCACCAUGUUGACCAGGAUGGUCUUGAUCUCUUGACCUAGUGAUCCACCCGCCUCGGCCUCCCAAAGUGCUGGGAUUACAGGCUUGAGCCACCGCGCCCGGCCCGAUAUUUUAAUUUUUAUAGUUUUUAUUACAAGUGAGAUGGAAAUUCUUAUAAAUUGUCUAACCAUUUAUAUUUUCUCUUCUGCAAAUUACCAGUUAACAUGUCCAUUUAUCAUGUUCCUUUCCAUCCAGUCAUGAUGUUGGUCUUCCUCUGACCUGAUAGACUUACCUGAUGCCAAAGACCUGAUUGAUUUUCAUGCUGUUCAAUAUAAUAGUCACCUGUGGCAACUGGGCACUUGAAGUGUUUCUAAUGCCACAAGUUGAUAUGAUAAUAUUUUUUAUAUAGUGAGUGCAAUGAAAUAUAUUAUUAUAAUUUAUUGUAUAUGUUUCUUUUUACUUUUUAAAAUAUAGAUACUAGACAAUUUGAAACUACUUAUUUCUAUUGGACAGAGCUGCUUAGACCUUUAAAUAUCACUUGCUCUGAAAUCCUCCUUUGUCAAAACUCCCAUUGCCCACACCCUCAUGUUGGCUUCUCCUACUAUUACAUGGUCCCUCACCUGCAAUCUGUCGUCAUACCUUCUAGACAAUGCUGCGUUGAAGCCAAUCCCUCUCCUCCAAGUCCCUGCUGCAUUUCAUUCUUCAAGUCUCACCUCCUCCUAAUUCAGUCUCAUCCCCCUGUGAUUAAUCCUCCCGUGUCUAGCAACACAUCUCAAUUAGGUUCUAUCACAGACUCCUGAAUGAAAUGGCAAAUCUGAUAAGGAUGUUUAAAUCCUAUAAUGUGUGUUAAAUAAAUUAUCCUCACUGCUAUCUACAUGUGUAUAUUCUAUUUCUAGCAAUGAAACAUAUGGCUUUUUAAAUGCUGAGUUUUUUUUAUUUGAAAAUGCCAUCAAAAGAUCACAAACAUACAAAGCUAAUAAACAAUUGCAUAUGUUUUUCAAAUUCCCCUGCCUCUGCCCACACCUUCAAACGUAACCGCUGUGAAUCUCAAACCACAUUUGGUGAAGACAGCCAAAGGUUAUGCCUGUAGCCACGAAUGCUCAGAAGUUCCCUAACACCAACUCCACCUGACCAAAAUGUCACAGACAUUUACUCAUAAUUCCUGGGGUUUUUGAGUCUAGAAGGCAGCAUGGGUAUGGGUUAACUUACCUGGCCACAGCAGAAUUUGUAAAAGCCCUUUAUGAAGGAUUCAAGAGAAAGAAAUCUGUAAUGCUGAUGCAAAGUAGAAUUCUUAAUGUAUUGAAAGGGAUUAUCAUGUGUAACGUGGGAAUUCAACCUUGUCUGUUUGAUCCACAGCUCUUUUUUUCUUGCCUGAAUUCAUAAUCGUGAAGCUCAUUUGCCUUAGGGAAGUAUCUGCAGCACAUCUUUAAUGCCAGACCAGCUCCUUCCUCUGUUCUUGCCCCUUUCCAGAAAGCGACUUCCCACCUCCCCCGACAUCCCCACGGCUGCCCAGGAAUUAAAAGCAAUUUGAAUAUGUAAUCAUGUGGAAUAAUAAACACAAGUGUACUCUCUGGGGUGCUCGCUGGCUGCUACUGUCUCCUUGCAACUACUUUCCCAAGUGCCUUAGAGAGAUGCUGAGAACACCAUGUUGACGGUUAACCUUUUAACAGUUUUGCCAUUUUCUGUUCACCCUGGCUACAAGCCCAGCUCUAAAGGAGGCACAGGAAGUGGGGUGAAGGAAGGGUUUCCUUCCUUCUGAGACUCACUGGAGACACGUUCUGCAUAGCCUGAGGAAGAGAGUUGGGCAGGCUUUGAAUAGUGUAUUUUUAAAACAUUCAUUAUUCUGACAAUGGAGUUUUGUGAAACCAGCUUUUAUUCCUUUUAUGCAAGUUAAUAGAGAUUUUUCAAAACACAUUACCAUACCAGGAAGUAAAUAACUAUUGCCUUGUUUUAUGAAUAUAAGAAAUUUCUGUCAAAAUGCCUAAAUAUUUUGAUUUAUUUAAAAGUAGAUGAGCUGAUGUGUAGGUAUUUAUAACAUCAAAGUACUAUUCUGAUUGAAUCAGUUUCAAAAAUGCAACAUAAAAGGUAGAGCAUUCAUCUUAAAUAGCAAUUUAGAAGUGGUUGCUUUGGGUAUUCUGUGGCUUUCAGAAUCUGAUUAUUUUGAUACUGAUACUGAUGUUUUGAUGCAAACACUAGAGUGAUCAAUUUGGUGGAUGCGAGGGAAGGACCUCGCUCUGUAUCUAAUACUCCUUACUAAAAUGUAAAAGUACCCAUUGUACCUCUUGGAUAUAUGAGAAUAAUGAACAGUACCAGUAAAUAUCUGAAUUGCAA
Molecule: RNA transcript, 6414 nt
Organism: Callithrix jacchus (white-tufted-ear marmoset)
Lineage: Eukaryota; Metazoa; Chordata; Mammalia; Primates; Cebidae
Source: RefSeq, a predicted model, not a curated record